Molecule: ribosomal RNA, 531 nt
Filed under: uncultured bacterium
Lineage: Bacteria
Description: bacterial SSU rRNA
Rfam family: Bacterial small subunit ribosomal RNA
Source: RNAcentral
CCUACGGGAGGCAGCAGUGGGGAAUUUUCCGCAAUGGGCGAAAGCCUGACGGAGCAACGCCGCGUGAGGGAGGAAGGCUCUUGGGUUGUAAACCUCUUUUCUCAGGGAAGAAGCUCUGACGGUACCUGAGGAAUCAGCAUCGGCUAACUCCGUGCCAGCAGCCGCGGUAAUACGGAGGAUGCAAGCGUUAUCCGGAAUGAUUGGGCGUAAAGCGUCCGCAGGUGGCGAUUCAAGUCUGCUGUCAAAGGUCGGGGCUCAACCCUGAACGGGCGGUGGAAACUGAACAGCUAGAGUGCGGUAGGGGUAGAGGGAAUUCCCGGUGUAGCGGUGAAAUGCGUAGAGAUCGGGAAGAACACCAGUGGCGAAAGCGCUCUACUAGGCCUGCACUGACACUCAGGGACGAAAGCUAGGGGAGCGAAUGGGAUUAGAUACCCCAGUAGUCCUAGCCGUAAACGAUGGAUACUAGGCGUUGCGAGAAUCGACCCUCGCAGUGUCGUAGCUAACGCGUUAAGUAUCCCGCCUGGGGAGUAC